This 505-nucleotide ribosomal RNA is filed under the name uncultured bacterium. Its description in RNAcentral is "partial 16S ribosomal RNA". It matches the Rfam family "Bacterial small subunit ribosomal RNA", at positions 28 to 507 of the family's 1533-position model. The record is from RNAcentral.
GACGAACGCUGGCGGCGUGCCUAAUACAUGCAAGUAGAACGCACAGUUUAUACCGUAGCUUGCUACACCAUAGACUGUGAGUUGCGAACGGGUGAGUAACGCGUAGGUAACCUGCCUGGUAGCGGGGGAUAACUAUUGGAAACGAUAGCUAAUACCGCAUAAUAUUGAUUAUUGCAUGAUAAUUGAUUGAAAGAUGCUAUUGCAUCACUACCAGAUGGACCUGCGUUGUAUUAGCUAGUAGGUGAGGUAACGGCUCACCUAGGCGACGAUACAUAGCCGACCUGAGAGGGUGAUCGGCCACACUGGGACUGAGACACGGCCCAGACUCCUACGGGAGGCAGCAGUAGGGAAUCUUCGGCAAUGGACGAAAGUCUGACCGAGCAACGCCGCGUGAGUGAAGAAGGUUCUCGGAUCGUAAAGCUCUGUUGUAAGAGAAGAACGGGUGUGAGAGUGGAAAGUUCACACUGUGACGGUAUCUUACCAGAAAGGGACGGCUAACUACGUG